GUCUUGCUGGCGAACGGCGGCUAUUACCGCUUCAUAAGCGGCGGCGUCGGCGCGGAUGGCGGCGGUGAGUUCGACGCGCAGGCUAGAAGCC
Molecule: transfer RNA, 91 nt
Filed under: Chloroflexota bacterium
Lineage: Bacteria; Bacillati; Chloroflexota
Description: tRNA-Met
Source: RNAcentral